Molecule: small nuclear RNA, 104 nt
Organism: Nycticebus coucang (slow loris)
Lineage: Eukaryota; Metazoa; Chordata; Mammalia; Primates; Lorisidae
Source: RefSeq, a predicted model, not a curated record
GUGCUUGCUUCUGCAGCACAUGUACUAAAAUUGGAAUGAUACAAAGAUUAGCAUGGCCUCUGUGCAAGGAUGACAUGCAUAUUUGUGAAGCAUUUCAUAUUAAA